Molecule: ribosomal RNA, 106 nt
Filed under: Pteropus alecto (black flying fox)
Lineage: Eukaryota; Metazoa; Chordata; Mammalia; Chiroptera; Pteropodidae
Source: RNAcentral
UGCUACGGCCAUGCCACCCUGAUGUCUGAUCUUGAAAGCCAAGCAGGGUCGGGCCUGGUUAGUACUUGGAUGGGAGACCACCUAGGAAAACCGAGUGCUGUAGGCG